UUAACUAUUAUAUAGUACUCAGACGACACUAACAUUCAGAGUUUGGGGUCCUCUGGCAGGCACGCACCAGCCGAAGCCGGUAGCCGGGACGAGCCCGGCGGCCUGCCAAAGCAACAAAGGUAUAAAUACACAAGGGUGGGAGGUCUACCCCGAAGGGCAUGAACUCUGUAAUGAUCCUUCCGCAGGUUCACCUACGGAAA
RNAcentral lists this unclassified non-coding RNA (200 nucleotides) under uncultured fungus. RNAcentral's name for it is "sequence contains ITS1". Lineage: Eukaryota; Fungi. The record is from RNAcentral.